This 332-nucleotide unclassified non-coding RNA is filed under the name soil metagenome. RNAcentral's name for it is "partial contains 5.8S ribosomal RNA, internal transcribed spacer 2, and large subunit ribosomal RNA". The stretch from base 1 to 120 matches the Rfam family "5.8S ribosomal RNA", at positions 35 to 154 of the family's 154-position model. The record is from RNAcentral.
GAUGAAGAACGUAGCGAAAUGCGAUAAGUAAUGUGAAUUGCAGAAUUCAGUGAAUCAUCGAAUCUUUGAACGCACAUUGCGCCCGCCAGUAUUCUGGCGGGCAUGCCUGUUCGAGCGUCAUUUCAACCAUCAAGCCCUGCUUGCGUUGGGGUCCUGCGGCUGCCCGCAGGCCCUGAAAACCAGUGGCGGGCUCGCUAGUCACACCGAGCGCAGUAAUACAUCUCGCUUUGGGCGUGCGGCGGGUUCUUGCCGUUAAACACCCCCUUUUUACCAAGGUUGACCUCGGAUCAGGUAGGAAUACCCGCUGAACUUAAGCAUAUCAAUAAGCGGGA